AUGUUCCUGGCACUCCUCCCAGUGCUGGGGAUAAACUUUCUUCUGAGAGUUGCCCAAGCUCAGUCAGUGACUCAACCUGAUGCUAAUGUCACUGUCUCUGAAGAAGCCUCUCUGCAGCUGAAAUGCAAGUAUUCCACCCCUGGGGCACCUUCCCUGUUCUGGUAUGUCCAGUACCCACAGCAAGGACUGAAGAUGCUCCUCAAGUACUAUUCAGGAGACCCCGUGGUUCAAGGAUUAAAUGACUUUGAGGCUGAAUUCAGCAAGAGCAACUCUUCCUUCCACCUGCGGAAAGCCUCUGUGCACUGGAGCGACUCGGCUGUGUACUUCUGUGCUCUGAGCGCACAGUGUCUGGGGCUGCAGGGGGAGCUGAACACAAACACCCAUGGCCGUGGGUGCUCAGACACAAGGUCUCUCCUUGUGCUCUCUGAAGCGUCUCUUUCAACUUGGCGAGGAAAGAAGGGAAGUUGUGCUGUCCCAGCUGCCUUUCUGCAACUCAUUUCCAGCUAA
Rattus norvegicus (Norway rat) is the source of this 507-nucleotide non-coding RNA. Lineage: Eukaryota; Metazoa; Chordata; Mammalia; Rodentia; Muridae. The record is from the annotation of a RefSeq genome assembly.